GCUCCAUGGAAGUGAGUAUAUGGAAAUGCUCAUGCACGUUUCUGUUUGAUGGUUGAGCCUGGAGAAGUGUUUGACUCGUAUCCUGCAGCAGUAUGAGCCACUGGCCAGCUACUUCAAGUCAUUAAAUGACAAACAGCCAAGGUUCAGGAGGCUUGUGGAGGCAUUCUCUGACUCAAUUACAGAGGUGUACCUACUGUUCUUUCAAGCAACUUUUCCAGUCUUCUCCACAUUCAACCUCCUCCUCCAGAGAGAGAAGUCGUCAAUCUUCCUACUACAUGAUGAGAUGAGGGGUUUUAUCCGCAAGCUGCUCUCAAAGUUUCUGAAGCCCGCAGCAUUGCAGCACCGGGAACUGCAUGAAAUAUGCUUUAAGGAGCCAUCCAACCAACUGCCAGGAGAAAAGUUGGUGAUUGGCUUCACUACUCGAGUUACACUCAACAGGCUCCUUGAAGCAGGAGCCAUUACACCAUCGUAGUAUGCCAUCAAGAAACUCCCCAUGAAAGAGCCUCUGAUUAAACAUGCCAUGUUUCUGGAUGUCCAGCAGAGAGCAGAGUGUGGAGUGGAAGAUGCCUUCUACUUUGUCGACAGAUUUCCUGAACUUCUCCCAUACAAUGGACCUGAAGAGCGUGACAAACUUUGUGAGGAGUUUCUGGACUACCAGACCAUGGACAUUGCCAUGCCCGACGACCCAGCAAUGUUUGACUUUAAGAGAUUUUGGGGGAACAUGGCAUCAAUGAAGAACAAGGUAAGAAUUAUUCUGUACUCAUGGGAAUACCCAUUGACAUAAUCAACUUAAUAGUACACAAAAAUACUUGUGAGUAAUUAGGCUUCCUAUGUGCAUUUUUCAAAGGUGACCGGUAUGAGCAGAUUUGGCAGGCUGUCUUGUAUUGCCAAGUUGGUCUUGGUCAUGCCUCACUCCAAUGCUGAUGCAGAGCGAGUUUUCUCUGUGGUUGGACUAAAUAAGACCAAGACCCGAAACAGUUUGGCUCUUGAGGGAACUCUGUCAUCCAUCAUGACCGUGAAGAUGGCGAGCCUUGAGCCAGACUGUUUUAAGUGGGAGCCCCCUGCCUCUGUCAUCAAGGCAUCAAAAUCUGCCACCAACACCUACAACGUUAGACAUGCUAAAUGAUUGACAAAUAAAUGUAUUUUGUCAAAAUUCUUGUCUUGUUAAUUUCUGGUUAAGAGAGGUUAGGAGGCCACAGUGCAGAGAGAGCAGCUGGCAUGGAGGUGAGGACAUCAGUCCUAAGGUAUAAAUCAAUGUUAAAAAAGGCAACUUUUUUUGGU
Gadus macrocephalus (Pacific cod) is the source of this 1281-nucleotide long non-coding RNA. RefSeq lists it as uncharacterized. NCBI's taxonomy places the organism in Eukaryota, Metazoa, Chordata, Actinopteri, Gadiformes, Gadidae. The record is from RefSeq and is a predicted model, not a curated record. The transcript has 5 exons.